GGAGGAACAUGUAUUGCUUCCUGCUCCUUAUGUGACAGACUGUAAAAAUUAUACAGAGGAAUAUCUGAAAAACAAUUUUACCGGGCCAUCAUCUAAAUCGUCAUGUCUAAUGUUAUGUGGAAUACAACCUUACGUGAAAGCUUGUGGCUGUGCUCCUUCCUCCGCUAUUCCAGAGAGGAACAUUAUUGAAAGAUAUCUUAUCUGCGAAAAAGAAGUUGAACAAAACUGCACGAAGGAAAUGCGCGUUGACUUUAAGAAAAUAGAAGAGUGUUACGUCAAUUGCAAAGAUGAUUGUGUGAAACGAAUUUAUCGAGCAGAAGUCGCUAAUGUGCUUGAGGU
Molecule: long non-coding RNA, 339 nt
Organism: Uloborus diversus
Lineage: Eukaryota; Metazoa; Arthropoda; Arachnida; Araneae; Uloboridae
Exons: 4
Source: RefSeq, a predicted model, not a curated record